Non-coding RNA from Rattus norvegicus (Norway rat), 419 nucleotides. The record is from RefSeq and is a predicted model, not a curated record. Lineage: Eukaryota; Metazoa; Chordata; Mammalia; Rodentia; Muridae.
UCCACCUCGGACCCCUCUUCGGCAGCAGCCUGCCCACUGGUCACAUUCGGAUCUCUCCUCUCUGAGUCACCUCAGACUUAGUUGGAGGAUUCCCCCAUGGGGCAAGAAGAUGGCCUGGGACAAAGUCAUCCCAUCCAAGACAGAUUCUCAUCCAGUCCAGGUUGGCCUUGAACUCCGCCCCCCUCUCUCUAUGCUGAACUAUUGUUACCACGCGUGUUCCACUGUGCCCAAAAGCCCAGCAGCUCCCUGAGGGCAGAACCAGGCGUCUCACUACCGGAGACAUCUUUAUGUAAAAGGCUCAACCCCUGUUUCUCUCUGUGCAAAAACAAAGCUGGCCUAUCACCUGUCUGUUCUUGCCCUAAGUUCCACAGCCCUAGUCUGUGAAGCUACGAGGGAAAUGAACUUGGGGGUGAGAGAGA